This 468-nucleotide ribosomal RNA is filed under the name uncultured bacterium. RNAcentral's name for it is "partial 16S ribosomal RNA". It matches the Rfam family "Bacterial small subunit ribosomal RNA", at positions 28 to 507 of the family's 1533-position model. The record is from RNAcentral.
GACGAACGCUGGCGGCGUGCUUAACACAUGCAAGUCGAACGGAAAGGCCCUGCUUUUGUGGGGUGCUCGAGUUGCGAACGGGUGAGUAACACGUGAGUAACCUGUCCUUGACUUUGGGAUAACUUCAGGAAACUGGGGCUAAUACCGGAUAGGAUCUCCUGCUGCAUGGUGGGGGUUGGAAAGUUUCGGCGGUUGGGGUUGGACUCGCGGCUUAUCAGCUUGUUGGUGGGGUAGUGGCUAACGAAGGCUUGGACAGGUGGCAGGGCUGGGCGGGUGACCGGCCCCACUGGGACUGAGAUACGGCCCAGCCCAGACUGGUAGGCAGGAGUGGGGAAUGGUGCAUAGGGGGAGGAGCCAUGGUGCAGCAAAGCAACGUGGGGGAAGACAGCAUUCGGGUUGUAAUGCGCAUUCGCCUGUGCCGAAACGUGAGUGACGGUAAUGGGUGAAGAAGCACCGGCUAACUACGUG